CCGCACUGCACAUCGCUGAUGGGCUGCUAACAAAUUGGUGUGUCCAAGGGCAUGUUCGACUACAGCCUCAGUUCCCCUCUGGAGGACAAUUUGUCAUCCACCCACGGACAAGAGUUCAUGCGGGGAGCUGAGGGCCUCAGCACUGUAAGCCAAGGGAACCUGGAGGAGUCUCGCCCACCUGUGCGUUGGGUGAUAGACACGCAGACAGACCUCAGUCCUGGCUGUGGAUCCAGCAGUGGGCCAUGAACUGACUCCAGGUCCUCUCCGCUGUGGUCUGGGAGCCCCUGGAGAAUACUGACUUAAAUAAUCACCCACAGAUGAGACAGCCUUUGUGGAAGUCCAGGAUUCCAACAAAGAAAGUUCUAGCACAACGUUGGAGCAAAAAAAUAUGAGUUUGGACACAUUGCAAAGGGCAAGAGGAACAGUUUGACUUUGUCCACAUCACCUCUCCCCUAAGGUGGCACAGCUCCAUGCCAAGACUGUCUCGGCCUGUGAUUUCUCCUGUGGGGUAAGUGAGAGUGUGUAAGUGCCUGGCUUUCCCAGCUGUGUGCGACAUUGCCAAGGAGGCCCAAUUCUCUUUCACCCCAUCCAGAGGUCUGAGCUGUGAGCUGCAUGACUUGGGGCAGGGAGAGGCUGGUAGAGCAGAGGAUAGGACACUCGGAGGGCAUUAAAGAGAUGGAGAUCCCACCAACUGUGUUGUGGACCCCAUCAGGAGCCCACCCAUGAGCCACUGGGAAUGCCUCAUCCAUGGAUCCCCCAAUUGGCACAUGGGUCCCCAGCGCUCUGUGCACCUUACCCACACCCCCUCAACACCCUGUGGUCGGCUCUCUGUGUGCACUGCCCAUGGUGUCCAGAGUGAGCUCCGGCAGAUGGCUAGUGGGCAUGCAGAGAAAGCCAGCUAGAGUCUGCAGGCCAAGAAGAGAUCACAGACUUGAGCUUUAG
This 942-nucleotide long non-coding RNA is filed under the name Equus asinus (donkey). Its description in RNAcentral is "lncRNA (ENSEASG00005028887.1)". Lineage: Eukaryota; Metazoa; Chordata; Mammalia; Perissodactyla; Equidae. The record is from RNAcentral.